UUUUUUCCCUUUAGUGAACCUGGGGAAGGAUCCUUA
Molecule: ribosomal RNA, 36 nt
Filed under: Ostrea stentina
Lineage: Eukaryota; Metazoa; Mollusca; Bivalvia; Ostreida; Ostreidae
Description: partial 18S ribosomal RNA
Source: RNAcentral